CGUAGGUAAACCUGUGGAAGGAUCAUUGUCGGCGACCCGCGAAGACACGAUCGGGGCACACGUGAUGGAACACUGCUAGAGCGGCGGCGCCGUACUAGCCACAACCGGCCGCCGUCCUUGUGCCUACGGUGCGUUGGCUGCGGGCCGAAAACGACGUGGGAUGACUCCAAGUAAGAUGUGAUACGGAGGCGGAGGCGGCUCGUCUUAGCGAGCCGCCUGCUGCCGACGUGGAGGAAAUCGACAUGACUCUCGACAACGGAUAUCUCAGCUCUCGCAUCGAUGAAGAAUGUAGCGAAAUGCGAUACGUGGUGUGAAUUGCAGAAUCCCGCGAACCAUCAAGUUUUUGAACGCAAGUUGUGCCCGAGGGUCUCGCUCGAGGGCACGCCUGCCUCAUGGGCGUAAUAAGCCCACCAAUGCUCAUGUGUCUGAGCCAUGUUACUUGUGACGGGCCCGGCCUGAUGCGAACGAUGGCCCUCCGAGCCCCAGCGUGCGUCGGUCGGAUGUGGCUGGAGCGGCGUAUGGUGGGAUCCUGCUCGUGCCGCCUCGUGCCAUUUGCUGGCGUCUGGCGAUUUCCAUCGACCCCGUACUAGGAGCUCGUUGUCGGCGCGUCUGACUGCGAGGCGCCCUCGGAUUGAUACCCCAGGUCAGGCAGGGCUACCCGCCGAGUUUAAGCAUA
This 676-nucleotide unclassified non-coding RNA is filed under the name Scleria corymbosa. RNAcentral's name for it is "sequence contains ITS1, 5.8S rRNA gene, ITS2". The stretch from base 245 to 399 matches the Rfam family "5.8S ribosomal RNA". Lineage: Eukaryota; Viridiplantae; Streptophyta; Magnoliopsida; Poales; Cyperaceae. The record is from RNAcentral.